Molecule: ribosomal RNA, 500 nt
Filed under: uncultured bacterium
Lineage: Bacteria
Description: partial 16S ribosomal RNA
Rfam family: Bacterial small subunit ribosomal RNA
Source: RNAcentral
GACGAACGCUGGCGGCGUGCUUAACACAUGCAAGUCGAACGGGCCUGUCUUCUUUUUUGGGGGGUGGGUUGAGUGGCGAACGGGUGAGUAUCACGUGAGUAACCUGCCCUUCGGUCCUGGAUAACCGCUUGAAAGGGCGGCUAAUACGGGGUGGUCCGGUUGGUCCGCAUGGGCUGGUCGGGAUAGAUUCACUGUUUUUGGUGUUUCGGCGGGGGAUGGGCUCGCGGCCUAUCAGCUUGUUGGUGGGGUGAUGGCCUACCAAGGCGGUGACGGGUAGCCGGGCUGAGAGGGUGGGCGGCCACACUGGGACUGAGAUACGGCCCAGACUCCUGCGGGAGGCAGCAGUGGGGGGUAUUGCACAAUGGGCGGAAGCCUGAUGCAGCGACGUCGCGUGAGGGAUGGAGGCCUUCGGGUUGUGAACCUCUGUUUCCGGUGGUGAAGGCCCUGUCCGUGUGGUGGGGUUGACGGUAGCCGGGGAUGAAGCGCCGGCUAACUACGUG